RNAcentral lists this ribosomal RNA (506 nucleotides) under uncultured bacterium. RNAcentral describes it as "partial 16S ribosomal RNA". It matches the Rfam family "Bacterial small subunit ribosomal RNA", at positions 30 to 523 of the family's 1533-position model. The record is from RNAcentral.
AUUGAACGCUGGCGGCAGGCUUAACACAUGCAAGUCGAGCGGUAACAGGGGAAAGCUUGCUUUCUCGCUGACGAGCGGCGGACGGGUGAGUAAUGCCUGGGGAUCUGCCUGAUGGAGAGGGAUAACCACUGGAAACGGUGGCUAAUACCCCAUAACGUCGCAAGACCAAAGCGGGGGACCUUCGGGCCUCGCGCCAUCAGAUGAACCCAGGUGGGAUUAGCUAGUAGGUGAGGUAAUGGCUCACCUAGGCGAUGAUCCCUAGCUGGUCUGAGAGGAUGACCAGCCACACUGGGACUGAGACACGGCCCAGACUCCUACGGGAGGCAGCAGUGGGGAAUAUUGCACAAUGGGGGAAACCCUGAUGCAGCCAUGCCGCGUGUGUGAAGAAGGCCUUCGGGUUGUAAAGCACUUUCAGUGGGGAGGAAGGGUGUUGUUUUAAUAGAACAGCGCCUUGACGUUACCCACAGAAGAAGCACCGGCUAACUCCGUGCCAGCAGCCGCCGUAA